This 460-nucleotide ribosomal RNA is filed under the name uncultured bacterium. Its description in RNAcentral is "partial 16S ribosomal RNA". It matches the Rfam family "Bacterial small subunit ribosomal RNA", at positions 338 to 795 of the family's 1533-position model. The record is from RNAcentral.
CCUACGGGUGGCAGCAGUGAGGAAUAUUGGUCAAUGGGCUUACGCCUGAACCAGCCCAGUCGCGUGAGGGAAGACUUCCCUAUGGGUUGUAAACCUCUUUUGUCAGGGAGCAAUUGGCGCUACGUGUAGCGUUAUCGAGAGUACCUGAAGAAAAAGCAUCGGCUAACUCCGUGCCAGCAGCCGCGGUAAUACGGAGGAUGCGAUCGUUAUCCGGAUUUAUUUGGUUUAAAGGGUGCGUAGGUGGAAUGCCAAGUCAGCGGUAAAAUCGCGGGGCUCAACCUCGCUCCGCCGUUGAAACUGGCGUUCUUGAGUGGGCGAGAAGUAUGCGGAAUGCGUGGUGUAGCGGUGAAAUGCAUAGAUAUCACGCAGAACUCCGAUUGCGAAGGCAGCUUACUAAACUGCCACUGACAUUGAUGCUCGAAAGUGUGGGUAUCAAACAGGAUUAGAUACCCCUGUAGUC